RNAcentral lists this small RNA (51 nucleotides) under Caenorhabditis elegans. RNAcentral describes it as "Unclassified non-coding RNA Y6B3B.12". The record is from RNAcentral. Lineage: Eukaryota; Metazoa; Nematoda; Chromadorea; Rhabditida; Rhabditidae.
AAAAAUCGAUUUUCCGACGUUUUCAACAAAAACUGCACGAAUGGCUCAGUG